RNAcentral lists this ribosomal RNA (266 nucleotides) under uncultured bacterium. RNAcentral's name for it is "partial 16S ribosomal RNA". It matches the Rfam family "Bacterial small subunit ribosomal RNA", at positions 32 to 279 of the family's 1533-position model. The record is from RNAcentral.
AAUCAACGCUGGCGGCGUGCCUAACACAUGCAAGUCGAACGAGAAGGUGGCUUCGGUCACUGGAUAGUGGCGUCCGGGUGAGUAACACGUAGGUAAUCUACCUUCGGGUGGGGAAUAACGUCUCGAAGAGACGCUAAUACCGCAUAAUGCAGCGGCACCUAAUGGUGAUUAGUUGUUAAAGCGGGGGAUCUUCGGACCUCGCGCCGUGAAGAGGAGCCUGCGGCAGAUUAGCUAGUUGGUGAGGUAAUGGCUCACCAAGGCUUCGA